GCAUUUCCACUUCCACUUCCAUUUCAGAUUCAGAUUCAUAUUAAUUUUGAUUCUCAUUUCAGUUUGUUAUUGUUUUUUGCCCGGGCGGUGCUCUUUCUGCACUGCAGUUUCAUUGCACUGCAGUUCCCCAAUAAACAAUGGCAUCUGUGCAACUAUUACAACUACUAUUCAUAAGAAGGGGUCUAAUCAGGGUGGUGGUAUGAUGUGGGCCAAACAAAAACACUUUUGAUAAUAGAAAAAUGCAGUGCGAAUCGUGGCUGCAAUGUGUUCACGGAAGUAAUUUCGUUCUAAGUGGCCUCAAGGUGCGACCAUUGGCUCUGUGAAUCCUCAUCGCAUCUCGAACAGUCAGGGCCAAGUUGUCAGGGAUUUAAUAUUAAUACUAUAUCUAUCAUAGCAAGUUCGAACUGUCUGUAAGUCGGACCAUGUAUAUACGGACAGUACGGACAAGUCCUUUGAUAAGUUUGCACAUUCGAACUGCUAUUCGCGUGACCCCCGCUGUUCAUUCACAUGCAUGGCUGGCAAGGUCGCCAUUUUCGAGCGUGCCAAGUGGUUGACGAUUUCACGUUGUGGAAAUGUUCUUAAAUUCGGUUGCACUCAUUCACAGCUGCUCGAGUUUCUCUGUUUACAAUGUAAACACGUGCUGUGCGAAAUAACACACCGAAACGAGCGAAAGAGAAAGGUAAUUUCGUGGGGUGAAAGGGAGAAAAGAUAGCGCGAGAUACGAGACAUUGCGUAUACGCAUCGUUGGCCAUCUGCGGAGGGCACGUGAAUGAAGCGUGUUUUGGGCGGGUAUAAAAAUAGCCAGGCGGGCGAGAAAAUUGUGUUAUUAUAUUAACGUCAUUCUGGGGAACAUCAGCAGCUCUCCUCAAGAAUUUCAGCAAGGCCGAACCAUCCUACAAAUUAUUUCUGAGGGCGGAGUUAUUGUUGUUGAAUAAAAUGAACAAUUACGACAGCGGCAGUUAUGAGCAGCAAGCUGCACGAAUCGGCAGACAUUUUUGUUAUGAAGGAGAGUAAUCUGUUUUUGUUGAGCGGAAGGCACUUGCAAAGCAAUUAAGAUGCAACGUGUAUUACGAAUAAGGAUUUAACUGAGCAGGAACAAGUUACUAAAAGUGUCAUCAUGCCGAAGAUCUUAUACACUGCCUUUCAAAUUACCCAUUGAUUAAAUAUAAAAUUGAGUAUGUCA
Molecule: long non-coding RNA, 1183 nt
Organism: Drosophila yakuba
Lineage: Eukaryota; Metazoa; Arthropoda; Insecta; Diptera; Drosophilidae
Exons: 2
Source: RefSeq, a predicted model, not a curated record